UACGGAGGGUGCAAGCGUUAUCCGGAUUCACUGGGUUUAAAGGGUGUGUAGGCGGGCUAUUAAGUCAGUGGUGAAAUCUCCGAGCUUAACUUGGAAACUGCCAUUGAUACUAUUAGUCUUGAAUUCUGUUGAGGUUGGCGGAAUAUAUCAUGUAGCGGUGAAAUGCAUAGAUAUGAUAUAGAACCCCGAUUGCGAAGGCAGCUAACUAAGCAGAUAUUGACGCUGAGGCACGAAAGCGUGGGGAUCAAACAGG
Molecule: ribosomal RNA, 253 nt
Filed under: uncultured bacterium
Lineage: Bacteria
Description: partial 16S ribosomal RNA
Rfam family: Bacterial small subunit ribosomal RNA
Source: RNAcentral